GGCAGCCUACGGGGCGCAGCAGUAGGGAAUUUUCGUCAAUGGGCGCAAGCCUGAACGAGCAAUGCCGCGUGAACGAGGAAGGUCUUCGGAUCGUAAAGUUCUGUUGAAGGGGAAAAAGAGCGGAGAGAGGAAAUGCUUUCUGAUUGAUAUUACCCUUCGAGGAAGUCACGGCUAACUACGUGCCAGCAGCCGCGGUAAUACGUAGGUGGCGAGCGUUAUCCGGAAUGAUUGGGCGUAAAGGGUGCGUAGGCGGCC
This 255-nucleotide ribosomal RNA is filed under the name uncultured bacterium. RNAcentral's name for it is "partial 16S ribosomal RNA". It matches the Rfam family "Bacterial small subunit ribosomal RNA", at positions 332 to 580 of the family's 1533-position model. The record is from RNAcentral.